GUCGGGUUCGGAAUGAAGCGGUUCACCUCGCCGCCGACCAGCAUCUUCACCCGGCGGCCCUGCUGGACCACCUGCACUCCGCGUUCGGUGAACUUCUU
RNAcentral lists this small RNA (98 nucleotides) under Pseudofrankia inefficax. RNAcentral describes it as "Frankia sp. EuI1c Mycobacterium sRNA Ms_AS-1". It matches the Rfam family "Mycobacterium sRNA Ms_AS-1". Lineage: Bacteria; Bacillati; Actinomycetota; Actinomycetes; Frankiales; Frankiaceae. The record is from Rfam by way of RNAcentral.